UACGUAGGGCGCAAGCGUUGUCCGGAAUUAUUGGGCGUAAAGAGCUCGUAGGCGGCCUGUUACGUCUGCUGUGAAAUCCCGGGGCUUAACCCCGGGCGUGCAGUGGAUACGGGCAGGCUGGAGGCAGGCAGGGGAGAACGGAAUUCCCGGUGUAGCGGUGAAAUGCGCAGAUAUCGGGAGGAACACCGAUGGCGAAGGCAGAUCUCUGGGCCGUAACUGACGCUGAGGAGCGAAAGCGUGGGGAGCGAACAGG
This 253-nucleotide ribosomal RNA is filed under the name uncultured bacterium. RNAcentral's name for it is "partial 16S ribosomal RNA". It matches the Rfam family "Bacterial small subunit ribosomal RNA", at positions 524 to 776 of the family's 1533-position model. The record is from RNAcentral.